Molecule: non-coding RNA, 90 nt
Organism: Micromonospora sp. HK10
Lineage: Bacteria; Bacillati; Actinomycetota; Actinomycetes; Micromonosporales; Micromonosporaceae
Source: Rfam
AGGCCGGGCCGUGACUGGCGCGUGGGGAUGGAGAACCAUCGGGAAGCGGUCCCGUCAUGAGGACGCACGCCGAGCGCCUGGGCCUUCCGC